RNAcentral lists this ribosomal RNA (464 nucleotides) under uncultured bacterium. RNAcentral describes it as "partial 16S ribosomal RNA". It matches the Rfam family "Bacterial small subunit ribosomal RNA", at positions 338 to 795 of the family's 1533-position model. The record is from RNAcentral.
CCUACGGGUGGCAGCAGUAGGGAAUCUUCCACAAUGGUCGAAAGCCUGAUGGAGCAACGCCGCGUGGGUGAAGAAGGUCUUCGGAUCGUAAAACCCUGUUGUUAGAGAAGAAAGUGCGUGAGAGUAACUGUUCACGUUUCGACGGUAUCUAACCAGAAAGCCACGGCUAACUACGUGCUAGCAGCCGCGGUAAUACGUAGGUGGCAAGCGGUAUCCGGAUUUAUUGGGUUUAAAGGGUGCGCAGGCGGCGUGUCAAGCAAGCGGUAAAAUAGCGGGGCUCAAACCCGUCGAGCCGUUUGAACUGGCGCGCUCGAGUUCAGGCGAGGUAGGCGGAAUUCGUGGUGUAGCGGUGAAAUGCAUAGAUAUCACGAAGAACUCCGAUUGCGAAGGCAGCUUACCAGUCUGCGACUGACGCUCAGGCACGAAAGUGUGGGUAUCGAACAGGAUUAGAUACCCGUGUAGUC